AAGAGUGAAAUCAGAAUAUUAAACCUAAGUAGAUAAUUAAUGUUGAAGCUAGAAAACUUUAGAUUUAAACUAGGAUUAGAUACCCUACUAUACUAAACUUUAAUGAAAAACUUGAAUAUUAUAAGAUAUAGGCUUUAAAUUCAAAGAAUUUGGCGGUAAUUUAGUCUUUCCAGAGGAACCUGUUUUUUAAUCGAUACACCACGAAGAAUCUUACUUAUGUUUGUAUACCGUCAUUAUCAGAUAAUAUUUAAAGAUAUAAAUUAUUGAGGUUUUAAUAAAAACAAAAAUUAGAUCAAGGUGCAGCUUAUGGAUAAGUUAAAAUGGGUUACAAUUAAGUACAUAUAAGAUGAAGUAAAAUUUAUGAAGGAGGAUUUGGUUGUAAUAGGAAUUAGUAUGGUAAAAAGAUAUAAGCUCUAGAUUAUGUACAUAUCGCCCGUCGCUUUC
This 444-nucleotide ribosomal RNA is filed under the name Mithraculus forceps. RNAcentral describes it as "partial 12S small subunit ribosomal RNA". The record is from RNAcentral. Lineage: Eukaryota; Metazoa; Arthropoda; Malacostraca; Decapoda; Mithracidae.